AUAAUUAGAAGUUUCUACCAGUGCAAUUUAUUGGCUUGAUUGCUUCUAGGGUACUAGGAUUUUCUGAGGUCCAUUUUUUUAAAAAAAAUAUAUGGAUGUGGGUUAUCUUGAUACUAAAUGGUAUAUACUAAAUUUUGUGAACUUGUAUAAUUAUUAAUAUUUAUGUCAUAGUAAGGUUUUCUAGUUAAAACUAGAUUUUAAGUCAGAUUUUUCAAUACUUGCUUCAGUACUUUUAAUUUGUUUUUGUCUCUCUUCAUAGUUUGAUGCUGCAAAAUUAAGAAAACUAAGACCAAGUUUCAAGUAGAACGAGGGCUUUGUUACUGCUGGCAAUGCUUCAAUCAUAAGUGAUGGUGCAGCUGCAUUAGUCCUAGUGAGUGGAGAGAAGGCACUUCAACUUGGAUUGCAAGUAAUUGCAAAGAUUAAGGGCUAUGCUGAUGCAGCUCAGGCACCUGAAUUCUUUACAACUGCUCCAGCCCUUGUGAUAGCAAAAGCUAUUUCAAAUGCUAGUUUAGAUGCUUCUCAGAUUGAUUACUAUGAAAUAAAUGAAGCAUUUUCUGUUGUAGCUCUAGCCAAUCAAAAGCUGCUUGGUCUUAAUCCUAAAGCCUUAACGUACAUGGUGGGGCUGUAUCAUUGGGACACCCAUUAGGAUGCAGUGGAGCUCGUAUCUUGGUCACAUUGUUAGGGGUAUUGAGACAUAAAAAGGGAAAGUACGGGGUUGGUGCCAUAUAA
Long non-coding RNA from Humulus lupulus (European hop), 729 nucleotides. RefSeq lists it as uncharacterized. The record is from RefSeq and is a predicted model, not a curated record. The transcript has 6 exons. Lineage: Eukaryota; Viridiplantae; Streptophyta; Magnoliopsida; Rosales; Cannabaceae.